Long non-coding RNA from Branchiostoma floridae (Florida lancelet), 1544 nucleotides. RefSeq lists it as uncharacterized. The transcript has 2 exons. The record is from RefSeq and is a predicted model, not a curated record. NCBI's taxonomy places the organism in Eukaryota, Metazoa, Chordata, Leptocardii, Amphioxiformes, Branchiostomatidae.
UUCGAACCCUGCUAACACAAAUGAGUCUUCAUUUGAAUUUUUGUUGAAAUUCACUGUUAAAUCUGCCAUUUCAAGCUAAUGACAAUACAUUUGCAUCAGUUCCAUGUCAUGAAGUUCAGAUGUAUUUGACUGACGAGUGGGAUUUUUCUCUGUCCUAACAGGCAAAGUUCAGUCCCGGGAUGGAGGGGCAGGUCCUGGGGACAGCCUUGCCGUAAAGUCACACCUUCAAGGACAUCUAGAAAAAACUCCUACAUUCAAACCAUGGACCACAAUUUCUAUUUUCUGUCGGCAAGAAGAAUAGAAAGGAUGUGCAAAUCUAUUCAAGCGUGUCCUUUUGCAGUCGCUGUUGGCUUUCCCGUCCUGCCACCCAAUCCAUUUUGCUUGGUUAAGAGGAUGUAUUUAGGUCAUGAUGUGCACUUCUACAGAUAGCCCAUCUUCAGGUAAUCCCAUAGGUCGCACUCCAUUCAAGUAGAAGUGCAGACUGAAUGGCACCGCAUUGAUUUUUUGGGGGAAAGGAUGUAUUUUACAGACUUGCAGUAAGUAUAUGCAACUGGGUCAAAGUGUCUUGGUCUGUACAUGACAUAAUCUACAAACACUCUGACAGUGUAUCGUAUAAGGCUGAUAUCCCGUCUAUAGUUUCUAACCUAUAUGUGCUUUGAAAAGGUAUCGUAUGUAGCAUACAAAAUUCUGAUGCAACGCUGACCAAACGUCCAUCCUGAACAAAUAAGAACCAUGAUAGAUUCCAUCGUACCUACAAGACAACUAUUCCUGUAAAUCCCUGAUAACAUUGCAACUGAGAUAUCAUGCUGGUCAUGGGUUAAAAGGUGCCAAUUCACUGAGUCUGUUGUAAGUUGACUUUGCUUCUGAUUACUGAUACAUACAAAAUUCACCAGCAGGUUUGAUCGCCCAUAGUCCUGCAUAUGCACAUUACCUUCUGGAGCAGUGUUUCAAAAAUUACACUAGAUGUUUAUGGUAGUACCGGUACAUGCCCGUACAGUUGACAAUAUCCCCAACUAAGGUGAAUUUGUUAAACAUAAUUGAUCAAGAUUAUAUGGGAAAUAAGGGACCGGUAAGUGGUAAACUGUAAUAUAGGAAAAAGACUGAUCAUCAAAAUUAGCGGUUCAACCAAUGAAAGCAUUGCAGUUAGCAGGUCGACCAAUGAGAGACUUGCAUUUUCAUGCAUUUCAAUGUUUUGACAAAGGUAGGGGAGGCUAUCAGCCUAUAACAGUCCAAGAUGGCUAGUGGAUGUUGUUUGCAUAUUAGGGACAUGUCACUUCGUACCAACCGAAUUUCCCACUGAUGCAAAUGAUGCUGAUGAUUAUGAUGGAACAUGGAGUAAAAGUACCUUCAGUACAAGCAGGUGCUUGUCAACCGAAUUUGAACAAAACAAAUUCAGUGAUGUGAAAUUGCCAGUAUGGUUAAGUUUGUAUCAUUUAUCUUUCAAAAGAACAAAAAGGAAAACACUUAAAUGUCAAGAUGGUGAACUGUAUUUGUUAAACUGUAUCUCUUCCAUCAUUCCAGCCGAAAUCAGAAAGAAAAAAAAA